AAUUCUCAAACCUUCUUGGUUUCUUGAUCAAGAUGGCUUUGGACUUUGGAGGCAUUUGCUGGCUUUGCGAAAAGCCAGCUCCUCUUAAAUGCAUUAGUGGGGUCCCCUUUGCCGAUCCCCAGGCGUGAUAAGAUGUUUCUACGUCUUGGGAUUUGCUCUGUUCCUUGGGAACCUGCCUCUAACCGUCUCAUGGAAGACAUUGUUCGAGCUUGCUCGACCCACGAA
RNAcentral lists this unclassified non-coding RNA (225 nucleotides) under uncultured Russula. RNAcentral describes it as "sequence contains ITS2". The record is from RNAcentral. Lineage: Eukaryota; Fungi; Basidiomycota; Agaricomycetes; Russulales; Russulaceae.